Molecule: non-coding RNA, 2811 nt
Organism: Delphinapterus leucas (beluga whale)
Lineage: Eukaryota; Metazoa; Chordata; Mammalia; Artiodactyla; Monodontidae
Source: RefSeq, a predicted model, not a curated record
GCGGCGGCGGCACCCGAGGCUCCGAGGCUCCUGCGCUCCAGCGCCGGCGGCUGCGCUCCCCUCGCCGCUCGCCCGGGCCGCCAGGAGAAGAAACUGAGGCCUGGAGUUUGAGUAAUUCGUUCAAGGUUACCAAGUUGAUAGAGGGACAAGAACAGAAUCACCAGCACUGGCUGAAGGUACCUUAACAUGGGGAAUCUUCUUAAAGUUUUGACAUGCACAGACCUUGAGCAGGGGCCAAAUUUUUUCCUUGAUUUUGAAAAUGCCCAGCCUACAGAGUCUGAGAAGGAAAUUUAUAAUCAGGUGAAUGUAGUACUAAAAGAUGCAGAAGGCAUCUUGGAGGACUUGCAGUCAUAUAGAGGAGCUGGCCAUGAAAUACGAGAGGCCAUCCAGCAUCCAGCAGAUGAGAAGUUGCAAGAGAAGGCAUGGGGUGCAGUUGUUCCACUAGUAGGCAAAUUAAAGAAAUUUUAUGAGUUUUCUCAGAGGUUAGAAGCAGCAUUAAGAGGUCUUCUGGGAGCCUUGACAAGUACCCCGUAUUCUCCUACCCAGCAUCUAGAGCGAGAGCAGGCUCUUGCUAAACAGUUUGCAGAAAUUCUUCAUUUUACACUCCGGUUUGAUGAACUCAAGAUGACAAAUCCUGCCAUACAGAAUGAUUUCAGCUAUUACAGAAGGACACUGAGUCGUAUGAGGAUUAAUAAUGUUCCAGCAGAAGGAGAAAAUGAAGUAAAUAAUGAAUUGGCAAAUCGAAUGUCUUUGUUUUAUGCUGAGGCAACCCCAAUGCUGAAAACCUUAAGUGAUGCCACAACAAAAUUUGUAUCAGAGAAUAAAAAUUUACCAAUAGAAAAUACCACAGAUUGUCUAAGCACCAUGGCUAGUGUGUGCAGAGUCAUGCUUGAAACACCGGAAUACAGAAGCAGAUUUACAAAUGAAGAAACAGUGUCAUUCUGCUUGAGGGUAAUGGUAGGCGUCAUAAUACUCUAUGACCACGUACAUCCAGUGGGAGCAUUUGCCAAAACUUCAAAAAUUGAUAUGAAAGGUUGUAUCAAAGUUCUUAAGGACCAGCCUCCUAAUAGUGUAGAAGGUCUUCUCAAUGCUCUCAGAAUGAAGGAUUAUGGGGCCGGCCAUGGGCUCAUCAGGAAAGAGGACCAGGAUUAAUUAGCAGGAUCUGCCCUGUGUACUGGAGGGAGGUGUGACUCCGUUCUGUGCAGGAGGAGGAAGCACAGAGAAGGCCGGACGCGCCCAGAGCUACGCAGCUGUCGGUGGUGGAGCCGUGAAUGGAGGCCAGGCUGUUCUGGAACCAGCCUCUGCUGACUCCCCAGGAAGAAUCCUGCUCCAGGGUAGGACCCUAGCCUAACUGGUGCCCCCCACCCCAGAUGUGGACAGGCAACUAAAGUCUGGGGGCCAUCCUGUGAAGGGGAGAAGAGGGUGUGUGAGCCAGUCCCGGGGAGCCCCACAGUCACCUGUGGCAGAAGCCCCACAAGGUAUCUCUGGGGCCAUCUUUCCCCAGAAGAUUCCAGAAGGUGGGAACUGUGCCGGCCUUGGAAGUGCUGCGUGGUCUUCAGUAAGACUACUCCCGUCCCCCUCAGUCUUCCUAAAACACAAUCCACUAAGGGUGGAUGGUGGUCUUCACUUACAGAAGGCGUUCGUGUGUGUUAGCUCGUCUUCCGGCCCGGUGGCUUUGCAAGGUGGUUAUUAAGCAGGACACGGUGAGGCCUGCCCAGGGCUGCCCAUGGCUGAACCAGGACGAGGACCCGGCCAGCCUGAUCCCCAGCGUGAGGCUCCAGCCACGAACAGCAUCUUUCUCCAGGCUCUCUCUUCUUCCCGACCCCAGCCCACGGGAGUCCUCUUACCUACUAGUGCUCCAAGAAUGCAGAGGAUGGCCCUGCCUUUCGAGGGUGACAGGCUGCCUGAGGGGUCCUGGAGGAUGCUUAGGAUGAGGUCCGCAGGGCCACCCAGCCGUCCCAGCACCCCAGUGUCCAGGGCCUGUUCCAGCUGCAGGAGAGCGGCGAGGAAGAGCAGGGAGAGGCAGCUGUGGGUCCCCUCCAUCCACGUUACUCUACCACCCAAGCUCCCGUCCCCAUGCUCUGGGUCCCCAGCCCUUCGUGAUGCCGGUGAAGCUGGGACGAGCCUGGGUUCAUUGCCAACAAUGCGGAACCAAGGUCCCUCCUUGGGCUUCAGGGAACAAACGCUCAGGGAGAUUCUGAUACGACAGCUGGUACGGGGCAGCACCCAGUCACCCCAGGGCCUUCUGAGGUUGUGUGCUACCAAGACCCAUAGCAUGUCCCGUGCCUGCCUCUCAUCCCCCUAGCCCAUCCCUCUCUCUCCUAGAUGCCAGCCCCCAGCCCGGGUCUGGCCGUUGAGCCCCUUACUGUGUCCUCGAGCUCCUGCGGUGCCCAAGGGUCCUGGAGCAGCUCUUGGAGGGCGCCCAGCAGUGGGUCCCGCAGCUCUGGGGGCAGCGUGGCCAGGUCCUGCAACUGGGCCCUAGCCUGCCUCUGCAGGCCCCGGAAGUCAGGCUCCGCACCUGGGGCCCGGCCAAAGGCCAUGCCUGUGGGGAGAGGCAUCGGCACCUGCUGGAGCCUUUCCCUGGGCUCCCUGCCCUGCGCCAGUCAGGCCCUGGUGUCCUGAACCUGACCAGGAGGUCCUGGGGUCACAGACCUGGCCCAGGGAAGCUCGUGUAUCAGGCAGAGCACAUCUUUAUGGGCUCACCUCUCCCUUCCUCCCUCCUUCCCUCCCCACCCCCCUUCCUUCUGAGCAUUUUCUGAGCACCUACUACAUAGCAGGUGCCCCCCACAGGGCUUAUCCUUGCCUCUCCCC